RNAcentral lists this unclassified non-coding RNA (372 nucleotides) under uncultured fungus. Its description in RNAcentral is "partial contains 5.8S ribosomal RNA and internal transcribed spacer 2". The stretch from base 1 to 133 matches the Rfam family "5.8S ribosomal RNA", at positions 22 to 154 of the family's 154-position model. The record is from RNAcentral. Lineage: Eukaryota; Fungi.
UGGCUCUCGCAUCGAUGAAGAACGCAGCGAAAUGCGAUAAGUAAUGUGAAUUGCAGAAUUCAGUGAAUCAUCGAAUCUUUGAACGCACCUUGCACCCUUUGGUAUUCCGAAGGGUACACCCGUUUGAGUGUCAUUGUAAUCUCACUACAACCGCCUUUUUGUUGUUGUAUGUGGACUUGGAUGUUGCCGUGUAACACACGGCUCGUCUGAAAUGCCUGAGUGUACCCUGCUUUGCGGCGUAUUCGGUGUGAUAAAUCUUCACCGGAGUUGACCCUCAGGUCACGUCCGCUUGACAUGGCUCUAUGCUUCCAACCGUCCUGACAAGACAAUCUUUGACAAUUUGACCUCAAAUCGGGUGGGACUACCCGCUGA